UUUAUGUUUUUUAUUAAUAAUUUCGAGAAAAAUUAGAAUCUUGCGCUCUAAUUAAUCGCCGCAGAAAGAUAUCGUCGCAAUGUGAAAACCUGUAGAGAAGGCAAAAAACUUUCGUGAAAAAAAGGUCCACCAAGGGUUUGGUAUUGCAAUAGUCGGAACUCUUCCACACGGCCGGUAUGGAUAGAUAAAGAAGGAGAAAGCAGCGAAGGUCCCGGAAGAGCACGGAAGAUGCAAAGUUUCUUCCACCGAAUCUGCUUCGGCAAACAUCAGAUCGUCAAACCUCUCUGUCCAGAGUUGCAGCGAUGGUGUGUCGACCGGGAACCUGUCGGUAGGAAGCUGAACGGGUUGAAUUUGUGUAACGGAACGUCCAGCCGUGGAACAGUGACGACGACUCUGACCACCAGAUCCACUAUGCAAACUUCUCAACUGAACCUAAAGUCGGGCAAUUGUGUGACAUCACCGUCCAGCUGCUGAUGACAACGUAACGGCUCCCGGUCUCAAACUCCACCGUUGAGCUAAGCAUCCUCGCAGUCAAACUCCUCCUGCAACAACCCGCCCACCAGCAGCAGCAGCAGCAAGAUUGUAUU
Molecule: long non-coding RNA, 587 nt
Organism: Culex quinquefasciatus (southern house mosquito)
Lineage: Eukaryota; Metazoa; Arthropoda; Insecta; Diptera; Culicidae
Exons: 3
Source: RefSeq, a predicted model, not a curated record